This 468-nucleotide ribosomal RNA is filed under the name uncultured bacterium. RNAcentral's name for it is "partial 16S ribosomal RNA". It matches the Rfam family "Bacterial small subunit ribosomal RNA", at positions 28 to 507 of the family's 1533-position model. The record is from RNAcentral.
GACGAACGCUGGCGGCGUGCUUAACACAUGCAAGUCGAACGGAAAGGCCCUGCUUUUGUGGGGUGCUCGAGUGGCGAACGGGUGAGUAACACGUGAGUAACCUGCCCUUGACUUUGGGAUAACUUCAGGAAACUGGGGCUAAUACAGGACAGGAGCUCCUGUUGCAUGGUGGGGGUGGGAAAGUUUCGGCGGUCGGGGAUGGACUCGCGGCUUAUCAGCUUGUUGGUGGGGUAGUGGCUGACCAAGGCUUUGACGGGUAGCCGGCCUGGGAGGGUGACCGGCCACAUUGGGACUGAGAUACGGCCCAGACUCCUACGGGAGGCAGCAGUGGGGAAUAUUGCACAAUGGGCGGAAGCCUGAUGCAGCAACGCCGCGUGCGGGAUGACGGCCUUCGGGUUGUGAACCGCUUUCGCCUGUGACGAAGCGUGAGUGACGGUAAUGGGUAAAGAAGCACCGGCUAACUACGUG